This 493-nucleotide ribosomal RNA is filed under the name uncultured bacterium. RNAcentral describes it as "partial 16S ribosomal RNA". It matches the Rfam family "Bacterial small subunit ribosomal RNA", at positions 27 to 507 of the family's 1533-position model. The record is from RNAcentral.
GAGUGAACGCUGGCGGUAGGCCUAACCCAUGCAAGUCGAACGGCAGCCCAGUAAGAGCUUGCUCUUACGGGUGGCGAGUGGCGGACGGGUGAGGAAUACAUCGGAAUCUACUUUUUCGUGGGGGAUAACGUAGGGAAACUUACGCUAAUACCGCAUACGACCUACGGGUGAAAGCAGGGGAUCUUCGGACCUUGCGCGAUUGAAUGAGCCGAUGUCGGAUUAGCUAGUUGGCGGGGUAAAGGCCCACCAAGGCGACGAUCUGUAGCUGGUCUGAGAGGAUGAUCAGCCACACUGGAACUGAGACACGGUCCAGACUCCUACGGGAGGCAGCAGUGGGGAAUAUUGGACAAUGGGCGCAAGCCUGAUCCAGCCAUACCGCGUGGGUGAAGAAGGCCUUCGGGUUGUAAAGCCCUUUUGUUGGGAAAGAAAAGCAGCAGGUUAAUACCCCGCUGUUCUGACGGUACCCAAAGAAUAAGCACCGGCUAACUUCGUG